CCUACAUAAUCAAAAGGUUGUAAUGUCAGCAGGUGAAAAAGAACAACUGGAGCCGACUAAAAGCUGAUGUAUGAUUUUCUCAAACCUUCAUAGAAAUUGACCGUCUCACGAACAGUCAACUCUCCCAUGUGUAGAUCAUGUUGGCUGACAUAAGCAGCUGAUCUCCGGGCCUCAAACUCGUCCAUUGUAUGCCCAUUGACCCCAUGCAAGAACGAAGCAAGUACCUCAAGACUUGGAGGGAGUGUUCCAGCUAAGGCCAGCAGCAGUGAGGUUUUCCCCGCACCAGGAGGACCCAAAAGCAGUGUCAUUCUGAAAACAUCAGGAAUACGG
Molecule: long non-coding RNA, 330 nt
Organism: Sorghum bicolor (sorghum)
Lineage: Eukaryota; Viridiplantae; Streptophyta; Magnoliopsida; Poales; Poaceae
Exons: 3
Source: RefSeq, a predicted model, not a curated record